UAAUUAUUGAAAGAUUUUUCAUAACAGAAAGACAGAUUGGAUCCUAGCAGCAGCACUCUAUUUCCUCCAAAAAAACCAGAAGACAGAUGGGCACAGAACGUCCAUCCACAAUUCACUUCAAGUGAAAGCACUAACCACUGUGCGAACUGCCUUUCAUCUAAACUGAAGAUCUCCAGAUGUGGACAAAGAUUCAAAUGGAGUAACUGCCUAGCUGCUCAGGCCGAGGCCCUGUGCUAAACAGCAAAAGGCAAAUAUUACCCUCAAUGACCAUGGAGGACCCUGAGGUAGACAACUGGGUCUAAGAGACACUGGACAGUUCCACACCACAAAUCCUGGACAGGAGUAAAGUGACCAACUACCCCAGGAUGUAACCAGCACCCAGCUUUCUCAGGUCCCCCAAGAAGGACUUCACCGCCCACAAACAAGCAGGAAGCAGUCUUGAGACCCCACCAUCCGAAUUCCUUCAACCUACUAUGCCUAACUCCCUGCCUUUUUAUUAUAAGAAAAAGAUGGGAAUGUUGUUAUCUGCUGGCCUGGUCUGUCCCUUUAAGAGACAAGCUUUCCCACUCCCAACCUCCUGCUUCUGCUGUGGCAAGUGGAUCUCCCACCUCUCCAGUGUGUCACGUCCC
Long non-coding RNA from Arvicola amphibius (Eurasian water vole), 629 nucleotides. RefSeq lists it as uncharacterized. The record is from RefSeq and is a predicted model, not a curated record. The transcript is spliced from 3 exons. NCBI's taxonomy places the organism in Eukaryota, Metazoa, Chordata, Mammalia, Rodentia, Cricetidae.